Molecule: long non-coding RNA, 577 nt
Organism: Pararge aegeria (speckled wood butterfly)
Lineage: Eukaryota; Metazoa; Arthropoda; Insecta; Lepidoptera; Nymphalidae
Exons: 3
Source: RefSeq, a predicted model, not a curated record
UAACAUGAAGAGCCAUUGCACACUGUCUACUAGUCGUCGGCGAAUCAGUGCCUUAGCGAUUUAAGAAUUUACCUAGGUCAGUUAGGCAAGUACAUAAGAAUAGUUCAACAAGCCGAGGACCCGCAAGCAAAUGUAGUAAAAUCAAACAGUCGCUCUGACUGUGUCGCCUGUCCCGUAGACUAGUCGACAGUGUGUAAUGACUUUAAAUUAAGCAAAGAAGUUUUUCUUACAUUCACUAUCUGGGCCAGCUGCCAAGUCUCCAUACUUUCAUCUCAAUAAUCAGGUUAACGUAUUAGUUAUAAAAGGUGAUAUUUAAAAGAUGGCUUCUUUCUUACUUCACAUCCUCACGGCUUUGCUGAUUUUUACGUUUGGAGUUCGGGUAGCGAAAAAGUAUAACGUUGGUCAGAAAUAUUUUGUCAAGCUGGAUUGGUCGCCACAUAUGCCUAACUGGUGUGAGAAUGCCCAUCCAUCAUACGACAUCCCGCCAAAGAAGAAGUUAUUUUCAUACGGCUCUCAAAAGUCAAACGAGAAGAAGGAAAAAAAGAAGAAGGUAAAAGUAAAAGAGGCCAAGACAUAA